GUGUUCUUGCAUUAUUAUGCCUUAAUUACCAUUAUAAUACCGGAACUGGUCUGAAAACAGCAAUAUUAUAGUUUAUCACAGUAGUGAACAAUAACUGAGUCUAUAUUUUAAAAUGUUUUCUGCUGCUGAGUGUUGAUCAGCAACCGAGUCAAAUAUCAGAACCUGAAAAUUAACCAAAUAUGAAAAAAAUAAAACUAUUUGACCAAUAAAAACUAAACAAUAUUUAACUUAUAAUAACUAAUAAAAAUGUGCAAACACACUGAAAUGAAACUAAAGUGUAAUGAAAGCCCAGAAGUACCCCCGGUUCUGAUGGGCUCUCCGGGUCGGAGCGAUUCCCGGCUCGGCCAGCAGGUGGAUUCCUUCUCCUUGUUUUCCAGAGGAAACGUUUCCUGAGAGGAGAACUGGUUCUGGUUCCGAGUGGCUCUGGGUCGUGGGGAUUUUGGUGGUAACCGGAUCCCAGCCGGGAAUCAGUCAGGUUCUGUUCGGACCUGCGGCUCUUUGGAACAAAGCUUUUCUCUUCAGCUCACAGAUUUUCAUCUUUUUGUGUUUCUGGUUUUUUUCUGUAACUGAAUCUGAGCUGAGAGGGACAUCAGAGAGUCCUGACGUCUUCCUGCCAGUCUUUGUCCCCCGUCCUCCCCUCAGACAGGUGUGUCUCCUCUCAGAUAUGUCCCUGGUUUUCAUGGCCAAUCACCUCCUCAGCAGCCAUGAAGUUCUGCGGAGGUCCGCUACUGAACCAGUCGUUACAUUCAGACGUAAACCCAGUCCCGUCUGUGGAUGUUCUGACGGCGUUUCAGCCAAUAAACAACCUUAAAUCUGGAUGCAGAGAUGGACCUGAACCUGCAGAGCCACAUAAAGACGGCUACAAAGUCGGCCUUCUAUCACCUGAAGGACAUUUCCAGGAUUAAAGAACGAAUUUCCCACAAGAUCUAGAGAAGCUCGUCCAUCUUUAGCUGCACUGAUCACUGCAACAGAAUCUACAAACGUCAACCUGACAGCCGGCUGCCCCAAGGGACAGCCGGUCCCCCAGGGGACAGCCGGUCCCCCAGGGGACAGCCGGUCCCCCAGGGGACCCGUAUCCAUCUCAGCGCUGCGGUAAUUCGUCUGGAAGUCGGGAAGCAGAGGAGCAGACGCCAACGGUAUGCGGCCGAGUCCAACACGGAAACUUUCUGAGUCAGUGGAGCAGCCAAAGCCGUCCGGUCCGGACAGAACUAUCAGCGUCUGGAUCGGCUCGACCCGAUCCAGACGUUUACAUCACACUGCUCUGCUGCUCAGCUCCAGGUGAGCUGAUGCCAGAAUAUCCUAUCCUGACCAAACAGCUGCAGAUAAGGAGACUUC
This is a long non-coding RNA of Poecilia reticulata (guppy), 1335 nucleotides long. RefSeq lists it as uncharacterized. NCBI's taxonomy places the organism in Eukaryota, Metazoa, Chordata, Actinopteri, Cyprinodontiformes, Poeciliidae. The record is from RefSeq and is a predicted model, not a curated record.